UACGGAGGAUGCGAGCGUUAUCCGGAUUUAUUGGGUUUAAAGGGUGCGUAGGCGGCGAGUUAAGUCAGCGGUAAAAGCCCGGGGCUCAACCCCGGCCCGCCGUUGAAACUGGCUGGCUUGAGUUGGGGAAAGGCAGGCGGAAUGCGCGGUGUAGCGGUGAAAUGCGUAGAUAUACGGAGGAACACCAGUGGCGAAGGCGGCCUGCUGGACAAUAACUGACGCUGAGGCGCGAAAGCGUGGGGAGCAAACAGG
Molecule: ribosomal RNA, 252 nt
Filed under: uncultured Bacteroidales bacterium
Lineage: Bacteria; Pseudomonadati; Bacteroidota; Bacteroidia; Bacteroidales
Description: partial 16S ribosomal RNA
Rfam family: Bacterial small subunit ribosomal RNA
Source: RNAcentral